RNAcentral lists this unclassified non-coding RNA (253 nucleotides) under uncultured Alphaproteobacteria bacterium. Its description in RNAcentral is "contains 16S-23S intergenic spacer region". It matches the Rfam family "Bacterial small subunit ribosomal RNA", at positions 524 to 776 of the family's 1533-position model. The record is from RNAcentral. Lineage: Bacteria; Pseudomonadati; Pseudomonadota; Alphaproteobacteria.
UACGAAGGGGGCUAGCGUUGUUCGGAAUUACUGGGCGUAAAGCGCACGUAGGCGGAUUGUUUAGUUAGGGGUGAAAUCCCAGGGCUCAACCCUGGAACUGCCUCUAAUACUGGCAAUCUAGAGUCCGAGAGAGGUGAGUGGAAUUCCGAGUGUAGAGGUGAAAUUCGUAGAUAUUCGGAGGAACACCAGUGGCGAAGGCGGCUCACUGGUCUGGAACUGACGCUGAGGUGCGAAAGCGUGGGGAGCAAACAGG